RNAcentral lists this ribosomal RNA (254 nucleotides) under uncultured bacterium. RNAcentral's name for it is "partial 16S ribosomal RNA". It matches the Rfam family "Bacterial small subunit ribosomal RNA", at positions 524 to 776 of the family's 1533-position model. The record is from RNAcentral.
UACGGAGGGUGCAAGCGUUGUCCGGAUUUACUGGGUGUAAAGGGCGUGUAGGCGGGGGAAUGUGUCAGGAGUGAAAUCGUGCGGCUUAACCGCGUCAAUUGCUUCUGAAACUGUUCCUCUUGAAUGCGGGAGAGGCAGAUGGAAUUCCAGGUGUAGCGGUGGAAUGCGUAGAUAUCUGGAAGAACACCGGUGGCGAAGGCGGUCUGCUGGUCCGUGAUUGACGCUGAGGCGCGAAAGUGUGGGGAGCAAACAGG